This 397-nucleotide ribosomal RNA is filed under the name uncultured bacterium. RNAcentral describes it as "partial 16S ribosomal RNA". It matches the Rfam family "Bacterial small subunit ribosomal RNA", at positions 523 to 918 of the family's 1533-position model. The record is from RNAcentral.
AUACGUAGGGGGCGAGCGUUGUCCGGAAUGAUUGGGCGUAAAGGGCGCGUAGGCGGCCCGGUAAGUCUGGAGUGAAAGUCCUGUUUUUAAGAUGGGAAUUGCUUUGGAUACUGUCGGGCUUGAGUGCAGGAGAGGUAAGUGGAAUUCCCAGUGUAGCGGUGAAAUGCGUAGAGAUUGGGAGGAACACCAGUGGCGAAGGCGACUUACUGGACUGUAACUGACUCUGAGGCGCGAAAGUGUGGGGAGCAAACAGGAUUAGAUACCCUGGUAGUCCACACUGUAAACGAUGAAUGCUAGGUGUAGGGGGUAUCGACCCCUUCUGUGCCGCAGUCAACACAAUAAGCAUUCCGCCUGGGGAGUACGGCCGCAAGGUUGAAACUCAAAGGAAUUGACGUGG